UGUCCAGGUGCAGUGAGCUAGAACGCGAAGCCCUUUUCCCUAUUCCUGGAGCUGUGUUCCACCUGCCGCCUGGCACUCAGGCCCCACCCUUCCUGCUCUUGGUGCCUCAAGUAGUCUCCACCAACCCUGUGGUGUGGCCAGCCCCAUGCUGCUCAAGCUGCAGCAAAAGAGGAAGCAGACACUGCUCUCAAGAGUGUUGCAGCUUGAUCGGUAAAACAGCUACUUCUGUUGAAGAAUCUACCAGCCAUCGUGCCUCUUUGGACCAAGGACCCCUGAGACACCAGCUCCUGUGCCUGUCCUAACCUCCCCCGAGAGCUGCUUCCUCCUUGCCUGUGAGAAGGCCUUAGCAGCAUGAGCCCAGCUGCUCUACCUUCUCCUCCCCUUCCUCCAGCAAGGUGAGCUCUAUAUCCCCAGCCCAGAGAAGUGGGCUUGCUCCUCAAAUGUCCAGGGGCCAGCCCCAAGCUGUGAUGAUUCAGGGAGAUUCCAGGGUGAGGGAGAGCAGGGAAUGAUUAAUCUCACAGCUAAUAGAUAACUGUGCCCACCCCCUACCCACAGGAGACAGCACUUGGAGCUAUAUCACUAGGAGGGGCCAGGGGUUAAAUGUGGCCACUAGAGAGCCCAUAGUUCUGGGAGGGGCAAGCCCCUGAGGCUGGAUCUGGGGCUGGCUCUUGGGGAAGGAGGGAUCUUGCUGGCUGGACAGCAAGAAGAAUCUGGGUAGACAGAUGUGGCUCAUAGUCAGCCCUGCUUCCUCAUGCCAUGUCUGGGGCCUGGAGUCUGAGGAAGCAGCCUGUGAGGACAAACUACCCAUGCAAUGAGACUCAGGGGAGUGUGUCUGUCUUCCAGAGACGCCCCCGCCUCCUGACUUGGCCUUUCCUUCCCUGUGAGUCCUGUCCCACCCCCACAUUUGGGCAGCUGAGUUGGAUGAGGUGGGAAAUGUAGGCAGUGUGAUUUUGUAGCAAAUGGCAGCUCAAAGCUGUGUGAUCUUGGGCAAAAUGUUAACCCUUUCUGAGCUUUGGUUCCCAUCCUUAUUCAGUGAGGCAAUCAGGGCUGCUCUGUGGGCUGAAUGAGACCACGCAGGUAAAGCUCUUAACACGGAUGGUUAUGAGCUCCAGGCAUGCUCGCUUUUCCCUGCUAACCAACCUUGGGCUUGGCAAGUUCUCUCUAGUGCAGCUCUGGGUGGCAGUGACUUCAGUUUAAACCCAGCUCAGCACCUUAAGGGGUGGGGUGUGAACUGGCCUCAAGGGGCCCAGUUAGAGCCCUUGUGGAAGCACAGGGCAAAGCCAGCUCUCCAAUCUCUCUGCAGAAACUCCUGAGGCUGAGCCUCAUAACUUAUAUGAGGUCAGAGCAGCCCUCGAAGGUCCUGGCCAGCAGCCGGUGGAUUCAGAGCGGGGAGCCCUCUCAGAGUUUUCCAUCCUUCAGCCAACAAGUGAAGACCUGCUGUCUACACCACUGGGGCCGAGGGUGCGUGGCAGUGGGAGCAUAGAGACCCUCUAAAGGAAAUGCUUCAGUAGACAACAGUCAAAAUAAUCAAAGGAGGGGCAGGGACUUGCCCUGGUCCCACGCCCCUGCCUCAUGUUUCUUACAUACCAGGAGUGAACUUGCAGCUCCAGAAGCAGCACACACACAGGAGGUGUUGCUGUGGACCAGGAGGACUGCACACACGUUCAGAGCAGGAGAUAAAGGGGUCGAGGAAGGCCUCCGGGAUGAAGGGCCUUGAGCAGGACCCUGAGAACACAUUGGAUUUAGGACCCUGGCUGAUAUACCUGCUGUGUGAGCCCCUCUCCAUGGCCCAAUCUCUCGCCCCGCCUGAUGUCCUGGUAUUACUGCUGUCAUCGUCACCACCAGCCCCUUCACACCCCCAACUUUUAGUGAG
This 1873-nucleotide long non-coding RNA is filed under the name Homo sapiens (human). Its description in RNAcentral is "HSALNT0382273". Lineage: Eukaryota; Metazoa; Chordata; Mammalia; Primates; Hominidae. The record is from RNAcentral.